UAAGGAAUAUUGGUCAAUGGGGGGAACCCUGAACCAGCCAUGCCGCGUGCAGGAAGACGGCCCUACGGGUUGUAAACUGCUUUUGCACGGGAAUAACCCUCAUUAUGUAUAAUGAGCUGAAUGUACCGUGAGAAUAAGGAUCGGCUAACUCCGUGCCAGCAGCCGCGGUAAUACGGAGGAUCCGAGCGUUAUCCGGAAUUAUUGGGUUUAAAGGGUGCGCAGGCGGGGAUCUAAGUCAGGGGUGAAAGACGGUGGCUCAACCAUCGCAGUGCCUUUGAUACUGGAUUCCUUGAAUAUACCUGAGGUAGGCGGAAUGUGGCAAGUAGCGGUGAAAUGCAUAGAUAUGCCACAGAACACCGAUUGCGAAGGCAGCUUACCAAAGUAUGAUUGACGCUGAGGCACGAAAGCGUGGGGAUCGAACAGG
This 424-nucleotide ribosomal RNA is filed under the name uncultured bacterium. RNAcentral describes it as "bacterial SSU rRNA". It matches the Rfam family "Bacterial small subunit ribosomal RNA", at positions 355 to 776 of the family's 1533-position model. The record is from RNAcentral.